UACGUAGGGUGCAAGCGUUAAUCGGAAUUACUGGGCGUAAAGCGCGCGUAGGGGGUUCAGUAAGUUGGAAGUGAAAUCCCCGGGCUCAACCUGGGAACUGCUUUCAAAACUGCUGAGCUAGAGUACGGUAGAGGGUGGUGGAAUUUCCUGUGUAGCGGUGAAAUGCGUAGAUAUAGGAAGGAACACCAGUGGCGAAGGCGACCACCUGGACUGAUACUGACACUGAGGUGCGAAAGCGUGGGGAGCAAACAGG
Molecule: ribosomal RNA, 253 nt
Filed under: uncultured bacterium
Lineage: Bacteria
Description: partial 16S ribosomal RNA
Rfam family: Bacterial small subunit ribosomal RNA
Source: RNAcentral